CCUACGGGUGGCAGCAGUGGGGAAUAUUGCGCAAUGGGCGAAAGCCUGACGCAGCGACGCCGCGUGAGGGAUGAAGGUCUUCGGAUCGUAAACCUCUGUUAGCAGGGAAGAACGGUCACUGUGCUAAUCAGCAGUGAAUUGACGGUCCUGCAAAGGAACCACCAGCUAACUCCGUGCCAGCAGCCGCGGUAAUACGGAGGGUGCGAGCGUUAAUCGGAAUUACUGGGCGUAAAGCGCUCGUAGGCUGUAUGUCAAGUCAUGGGUGAAAUCCCCGCGCUCAACGUGGGAACUGCCUUUGAAACUGGCAAACUAGAGUGUGGGAGAGGAUAGUGGAAUUCGAGGUGUAGGAGUGAAAUGCGUAGAUAUCUGGAGGAACAUCAGUGGCGAAGGCGACUAUCUGGCACAUAACUGACGCUGAGGAGCGAAAGCGUGGGUAGCGAACAGGAUUAGAUACCCCAGUAGUC
Molecule: ribosomal RNA, 464 nt
Filed under: uncultured bacterium
Lineage: Bacteria
Description: partial 16S ribosomal RNA
Rfam family: Bacterial small subunit ribosomal RNA
Source: RNAcentral